RNAcentral lists this long non-coding RNA (246 nucleotides) under Lathyrus oleraceus (garden pea). RNAcentral describes it as "Pisum sativum (pea) long non-coding RNA (PSAT_LNC035045)". The record is from RNAcentral. Lineage: Eukaryota; Viridiplantae; Streptophyta; Magnoliopsida; Fabales; Fabaceae.
UCAGAUCUGCCACCUCAAUUAAUGAGGAAGAUCUGAUAGCCCUCAUUUUUUUCUAUUUUCAUUUUUUAUUCUGAUUUUUCAUUUUAUCCAUUUAUUUGGUUUAAUUCAUAUAAAAAUUUCAUUUUUAAUCCAAAAAAUAUGGGACUUUCACCAAAAAUCUUUAAAUAUUUUCAUAUUCCAUAUUUUGAAUUACAAUUAUUUUUUGGAUUAAUUCUGAUAUUUUUCACGAAUUAAAUGAUUUUUGAC